Molecule: long non-coding RNA, 825 nt
Organism: Juglans microcarpa x Juglans regia
Lineage: Eukaryota; Viridiplantae; Streptophyta; Magnoliopsida; Fagales; Juglandaceae
Exons: 2
Source: RefSeq, a predicted model, not a curated record
CCCUACACCUCGUCGCCUGCACUCCCCCCCACCCUUUGCUCUCUUUCUCUCUUUCUCUCUAAAAUAUGAUUUCGUUGCAAGAAUAUAUUCGGUUCUCUCCCUCCCUCCCUCUCCUCCAAUUGUUGCCCCCCUCGUUGAAAAAUCUAUGGCCAUCGAGGGGUAGGUGAGGGUACUAACUCAGCUUGGAGAGCUUCUGCGUUUCUAACAAUUGCUUGCUCUGCUCUCCACCGGUUUUGGCUGUCGGUGUUGUGGUUGCUGCUGGUGCCUUGGCUUUCCAUUUGAGCACCAACUGCUCAGAGACGAGAGGCUUUUGAGGGGUGUUGGGGAGAGAAAGAAAUGAAGAGGGGGAAAGGAAACCGACGCUGGGAGAGGAGAAAGGAGCGAGGAUACUGCACGAGAGAGAAGUGAGAGAAAUGAUUUUUUUCUUUUUUAUCAUGCAUGCGGGUGUAGAAUGGAGUUUCCUAUACCUUCUACAUGGCAACACAUCAUUGGCGUGUGUAAAAAUUGGGAAUGCACCCGUCUGCCCAUGAGUUUUUUCCUUAACAUAAUUAGGCAUUGGUAAAGUUAGUCUAAUAAGACGAGUUGAGUUGAUGGCACCGUAUUAAUAUCUAGAUAGUAAUAUCUACAUUAUCUUACAAAUCAUAAUGCUAUUACUAUUAAAUUUAAUAGGAGGGUGGGGCUCUGUUUUUGAAUAAUUACCGAAUCUGGUACUUGAAGGUCCCAAAGGAGCAGAGGCACCUUGACAAUACACCUUUGAGAUUUAUUUAAUUAAUCUAAUGUGAGAGAGAGAGCUAGGCCCCACCUAUAAUGCUCAUUUUCCCCUUA